This is a long non-coding RNA of Suricata suricatta (meerkat), 1732 nucleotides long. RefSeq lists it as uncharacterized. The record is from RefSeq and is a predicted model, not a curated record. NCBI's taxonomy places the organism in Eukaryota, Metazoa, Chordata, Mammalia, Carnivora, Herpestidae. The transcript has 3 exons.
GUGGUACCGAAGCCGGGCGAGUGAGACUUGAGUACUUAGGAGUCUGUGCGAAGUGCUUGGCAGCAGCUCCAAGUGCUGGAGGCAGUCGCCGUACAUGGUGGGAACCUCCGACCAGGCUGAAAAUUCUGGAAGAGGGGCUGGGUGAGCUGCUCCUCUGCUUAGGAUGGCAGUGAUGUGGAGUGACCCCGAGUUCCCUCCGGUUGCUAACUUGGCUCCAGGCAGGGGCGUGGCCCACCGUGGAGGACUCAGGGAGGCACAGGAUGGGCUGCUGUAACAGAACACCACAAUCGUCUCAGUUCUGGAGGCUGGAGGUGUGAAAUCCACAUGUUGGCUGGCUGGUUCUUGCUGAGGGCUGAGGGGAGCUGUGUUCCAGGCUUCAAUCCUUGGCCUGUAGAUGCCUCUCCCUAUGUCUCUUCACAUUGUCUUCCCUUUAUGCAUAUUUGUUUGUGUCCAAAUUUCCCCUUUUUAUAAGGACACUAGUCCUACUGGAUUAAGACUCAUCCUACUGACAUCAUUUGAAUUUGAUUACCUCUGUAAAGACCUUAUCUUGAAAUAAGGUCAUAGCCUGGGGUACUGGGGGUUAGGACUCCAAGGGUUCUAAGUCAACCCACAAUAGGUCUUGACAUUGAUUUUAGUAAUUUCUUGAUGGGAAGCGGUCCCCUGUUAGGGCUCUUAGUCAUUGGAGUUGAGCUGCUAGCUUUGGCCACAGGACAGUGUCCCUUCCACAGGUACGCUGAGAAUGUAUCCUGCUGAUCGAGGGGCAGGAAAUAGCCAGAUAAGGAUUUGUCAUUGCACAAGAGGUUUCCUAUCUGGCGGCCAGCUGCAGGGCUUUCAGGAAAGUCACUGGGGCCAUGUUCAAGUUCUGGAAAACACCUAAGCCUCUCUCUGUCUAUAGGUGAAGGUGAAGGCUUCUAUCUGAGUGACCACACUUGGACCAGGCCUCUAUGGGACCGAGGCCUCCAAAGAUGCUCUGCUUGGGAGCAGGAGCCUGUUUGGGGCCAGUGGGGCUUCUUAACUGAGUUCAGUGGGGCUUUCCCUUGCCCAGCCCUGUCUUCCUGACCCUCUCAUUUGUUAUACCAAAACUGAAGGUGGCAAUGGAUAUCCUGUGAGUGAGAGAGAACAUUUUGCCAAUUAACUGUGUUGAAUGAGAUCAGUAAACAUCACAAUUGACAAUCUUAGCACCAUUGAUUAAUAUCGACUGAGCACCUACUGUGUGCUGGGCAUCAUGGGAAUAUUGAUUAAGCACUGCAAAAACUAGAUUGCAAAACUAGCCUUGAUUCUCUACCUGCCCCUGUAACCAUGGUCCUUGCAAUGUGACAUUGCUGCUCCUGCCAUCAGAAGAUGGAGUCUAUUUUCCCACCCUUGAACCUGGGUUGGAUUUGUCACUUGGAUUGGUCAAUAUGACUAUGGAAGUGGUGUUUAUGCCAGUUUUGAGCCUAGAUAGACCUUCAGAGAUCUUGCAUGAUUUGACCCUUGCUCUUGGACCCACGUGGCUCUGUGUUAACUAGCGUGAGCUUGCUUGCUGGUGGAUGAGAGACCUGUGGCCCAGUUACCUCAGUUGAGAGCUAGCCAUCUCCCCAGAAGCAGAGGCCUCUGGCUGCCCAGGUACUCAGCCCAAAUGCCUGAUGGAAUCCAGCUGAGACCAGAAGAAUUGCCCAGCUGAGCCCAGCCUAAAAUGCUGACCUGUAAAAUCAUGAACUAAAUAAAUAUUUAUUGUUUUAAGACCCUUCUA